UGAAACCGCAUGCAGGUAAACGGGUGGCGUCAAGCUGCAAGCCCGGAGGAUUCAGCUGGCUAGGAUGUUGUGUAUGCGCCUGGCGCAUCUAUCAGCCGGAGUAAGAUGUGAUAGUCCACUGGUAAACGGUGGGCCCGGCCGCAAGGUUGGGAUAUGUGUACCGGGCGGAAGCCGGAGCAUGCUAUUCGUCUGUUGGGCUGUCUAGUCAGUGCACUUUCUCUGUGGUGAACACCACGACCGGUGGAAUUGCCAGUCUGCUGUAGUCAAGUCGUAUUCAGUCGGUUCUUGUAGCCAACUGGGUGCGAUCACAGGCAAACUCAGUAAACGGCGUAGGGGUGUCUCGGCAUCCUUGCGUGUUAUCGGCUGCUGGUUGUCAACGGGCCUGCCUGAUGAUUGUUGUAACCGUCAUUGGGUGGUCUGGUGGGCUAUGGUGGUAAGAAUAACUGUGCAAGGCAUCGGAGUUCUCGGCCUCAAAUGCAUCCUGCAUACACGUUACAAGUGGAGUGGGGUGCCAUUGCAGCCUGCCUGUUGUUGGGUCUGAUUGUCGUGUCGCCUGCGCAAAGUGGGCCCGGCAGUGGCCUGAUGCGGGAUGGGUUGUGGAUGGUGCUUCCUGUGUAGGGUGCGGUGGGUCAAAUAGU
RNAcentral lists this ribosomal RNA (638 nucleotides) under Clistobothrium grimaldii. RNAcentral's name for it is "Monorygma grimaldii partial 28S large subunit ribosomal RNA". Lineage: Eukaryota; Metazoa; Platyhelminthes; Cestoda; Phyllobothriidea; Phyllobothriidae. The record is from RNAcentral.